UGGCUGAUGGUGUAAUUGGUAACACGUCUGCCUCUGGAGCAGAAGACUCUAGGUUCGAGUCCUAGUCGGCCAGCCA
RNAcentral lists this transfer RNA (76 nucleotides) under Desulfobulbaceae bacterium. RNAcentral describes it as "tRNA-Gln". It matches the Rfam family "tRNA". From Rfam's summary of the family: Transfer RNA (tRNA) molecules are approximately 80 nucleotides in length. Their secondary structure includes four short double-helical elements and three loops (D, anti-codon, and T loops). Lineage: Bacteria; Pseudomonadati; Thermodesulfobacteriota; Desulfobulbia; Desulfobulbales; Desulfobulbaceae. The record is from RNAcentral. RNAcentral also lists the same sequence under 1 other name.